GACGAACGCUGGCGGCGUGCUUAACACAUGCAAGUCGAACGGAAAGGCCCUGCUUUUGUGGGGUGCUCGAGUGGCGAACGGGUGAGUAACACGUGAGUAACCUGCCCUUGACUUUGGGAUAACUUCAGGAAACUGGGGCUAAUACCGGAUAGGAGCUCCUGCUGCAUGGUGGGGGUUGGAACGUUUCGGCGGUUGGGGAUGGACUCGCGGCUUAUCAGCUUGUUGGUGGGGUAGUGGCUUACCAAGGCUUUGACGGGUAGCCGGCCUGAGAGGGUGACCGGCCACAUUGGGACUGCGAUACGGCCCAGACUCCUACGGGAGGCAGCAGUGGGGAAUAUUGCACAAUGGGCGGAAGCCUGAUGCAGCAACGCCGCGUGCGGGAUGACGGCCUUCGGGUUGUAAACCGCUUUCGCCUGUGACGAAGCGUGAGUGACGGUAAUGGGUAAAGAAGCACCGGCUAACUACGUG
RNAcentral lists this ribosomal RNA (468 nucleotides) under uncultured bacterium. Its description in RNAcentral is "partial 16S ribosomal RNA". It matches the Rfam family "Bacterial small subunit ribosomal RNA", at positions 28 to 507 of the family's 1533-position model. The record is from RNAcentral.